This 846-nucleotide ribosomal RNA is filed under the name uncultured bacterium. Its description in RNAcentral is "bacterial SSU rRNA". It matches the Rfam family "Bacterial small subunit ribosomal RNA", at positions 407 to 1237 of the family's 1533-position model. The record is from RNAcentral.
UAUGAAGGGCUUCGGCCCGUAAACCCCUGUCAUUUGCGAACAAACCUUGUCUGUUAACAGUAGGCAAGUUGAUUGUAGUGAAAGAGGAAGGGACGGCUAACUCUGUGCCAGCAGCCGCGGUAAUACAGAGGUCCCGAGCGUUGUUCGGAUUCACUGGGUGUAAAGGGUGCGCAGGUGGGUUUGCAAGUUUGAUGUGAAAGCCCCGGGCUUAACCCGGGAAUGGCAUUGAAUACUGCAGAUCUGGAGGAUUGGAGGGGGGACUGGAAUUCUUGGUGUAGCAGUGAAAUGCGUAGAUAUCAAGAGGAACACCAGUGGCGAAGGCGAGUCCCUGGACAAUACCUGACACUGAGGCACGAAAGCCAAGGGAGCAAACAGGAUUAGAUACCCUGGUAGUCUUGGCUGUAAACGGUGCGCAUUUGCUGUAAACGGAAUCGACCCCGUUUGUGGCGAAGCUAACGCGAUAAAUGCGCCGCCUGGGAAGUACGGUCGCAAGAUUAAAACUCAAAGAAAUUGACGGGGGCCUGCACAAGCGGUGGAGUAUGUGGCUUAAUUCGAUGCAACGCGAAGAACCUUACCUGGCCUUGACAUGCAAGUGGUAGAACCAUGAAAGUGGGACGAUCCCGCAAGGGAAGCUUGCACAGGUGCUGCAUGGCUGUCGUCAACUCGUGUCGUGAGAUGUUGGGUUAAGUCCCGCAACGAGCGCAACCCUUGUGUCCUGUUGCCACCCAAACGAGAGUUUGGAGCACUCUGGACAGACUGCCUCGCUUAAACGAGGAGGAAGGUGGGGAUGACGUCAAGUCAGUAUGGCCCUUACGGCCAGGGCUGCACACGUACUACAAUGCAUGG